RNAcentral lists this ribosomal RNA (443 nucleotides) under uncultured bacterium. Its description in RNAcentral is "partial 16S ribosomal RNA". It matches the Rfam family "Bacterial small subunit ribosomal RNA", at positions 338 to 795 of the family's 1533-position model. The record is from RNAcentral.
CCUACGGGAGGCAGCAGUGGGGGAUAUUGGACAAUGGGGGAAACCCUGAUCCAGCGACGCCGCGUGAGUGAAGAAGUAUUUCGGUAUGUAAAGCUCUAUCAGCAGGGAAGAAAGAAAUGACGGUACCUGAGUAAGAAGCCCCGGCUAACUACGUGCCAGCAGCCGCGGUAAUACGAGGGGGGCAAGCGUUAUCCGGAUUUACUGGGUGUAAGGGGAGCGUAGACGGUAAAGCAAGUCUGGAGUGAAAGGCGGGGGCCCAACCACCGGAGUGCUCUGGAAACUGUGUAACUGGAGUGCAGGGGAGGCAGGCGGAAUUCCUGGUGUAGCGGUGAAAUGCGUAGAUAUUAGGAGGAACACCGGUGGCGAAGGCGGCCUGCUGGACUGUAACUGACGUUGAGGCUCGAAAGCGUGGGGAGCAAACAGGAUUAGAUACCCCAGUAGUC